UUUUGGUUCAGAGUGCUGAAGAAGACAAAGUCCUAAAAGGCCAAUUGCUUAAUUAUUCAAAGAGGACCUUCUCUCCUGCUGACUUUGAUGAUGCAAGCUGCCACAGAAGAGAGGUUCAGGAGGAAGGGACCUAAGGCAGCCUCUGACCAAUGGCAAACAGCAAGUGAACUGAAGUCCUUAAUCCACUAUUCCUCGGGGAAAAGAAUCCUGUCAACAAUUGUGUGUUAGCUUGAAAGCAGAUUCUUCCCUUGGUGGACACCUCGACUACAGCCUUGUGAGAGGCCGUGAAGCAGAGGACACAGCUAAGCUGUCCUAGAUCUCUUCUCCACAGGAGGAAAUUGUGCCAAUUGCCCUGAAGGAGAAGACCUAGAACAAGGCCUUAACUCUAAAUGUAAGGGCUGAGGUGAUGACUUCACUAUAAAGCUUUCAUGACACUCCAAGACAUUUCCAGUCAUAUUUCCUGCAUCAGAGAAUGU
Molecule: long non-coding RNA, 476 nt
Organism: Otolemur garnettii (small-eared galago)
Lineage: Eukaryota; Metazoa; Chordata; Mammalia; Primates; Galagidae
Exons: 4
Source: RefSeq, a predicted model, not a curated record